UACGUAGGGUGCGAGCGUUGUCCGGAAUUAUUGGGCGUAAAGAGCUCGUAGGCGGUUUGUCGCGUCGACUGUGAAAACCUGGGGCUUAACUCUGGGCCUGCAGUCGAUACGGGCAGACUUGAGUUCGGUAGGGGAGACUGGAAUUCCUGGUGUAGCGGUGAAAUGCGCAGAUAUCAGGAGGAACACCUAUUGCGAAGGCAGCUCGCUGGGACGUAACUGACGCUGAGACGCGAAAGCGUGGGGAGCAAACAGG
RNAcentral lists this ribosomal RNA (253 nucleotides) under uncultured bacterium. RNAcentral describes it as "partial 16S ribosomal RNA". It matches the Rfam family "Bacterial small subunit ribosomal RNA", at positions 524 to 776 of the family's 1533-position model. The record is from RNAcentral.